AUGUACUCCAGGUUUAGCAGUUUCACACAGAAGUUGGCUAGAGCUUGAGCUUCGGAAGCUUAUAUUCUGCAGGGGUUAAAGCUGGUUUCUACGGAAGCACCACCUAUCAUAUUUGCCACCCCAACCAAACUGACCUUCAGUGCAACAGCAUAUAAUUAUGCCGGGAAGAACAAAGUUCCAGAGCUGCAGACCUUCUUCUAGAAGGCUGAUGGCGUGCCCAUCCACCUGAAAUCAGGCCUUCUGGACCAAAU
RNA transcript from Mus pahari (shrew mouse), 251 nucleotides. It is a transcript of the gene named cytochrome c oxidase subunit 7A-related protein, mitochondrial pseudogene, with no coding region annotated. The transcript has a single exon. Lineage: Eukaryota; Metazoa; Chordata; Mammalia; Rodentia; Muridae. The record is from RefSeq and is a predicted model, not a curated record.